Molecule: long non-coding RNA, 224 nt
Filed under: Elaeis guineensis (African oil palm)
Lineage: Eukaryota; Viridiplantae; Streptophyta; Magnoliopsida; Arecales; Arecaceae
Description: long non-coding RNA (EGUI_LNC052325)
Source: RNAcentral
AUACAGACAGCAGAAAUAAUUUAAUCUAACAUGCAUCUUCUAGAUAUCCCUAUCAUGUUCUUAAGGUCUAUAUGUAGCAAAUAAAAUUAUAUUAAAGUAAAAAUAUGAAAAUCACAUCUUUACCUUUGUACAGAUAGUUAUUCACCGUAAUUGAUGAUCGUAGAUAUCUUUUCGAUUUUUUUUUAGCCGCACAAGCAUCCAACCUCUAUAGGUAUAUACGGGAC